Molecule: transfer RNA, 74 nt
Filed under: Kofleriaceae bacterium
Lineage: Bacteria; Pseudomonadati; Myxococcota; Haliangiales; Kofleriaceae
Description: tRNA-Ile
Rfam family: tRNA
About the family: Transfer RNA (tRNA) molecules are approximately 80 nucleotides in length. Their secondary structure includes four short double-helical elements and three loops (D, anti-codon, and T loops).
Source: RNAcentral
GGACCUGUAGCUCAGCUGGUUAGAGCACUCGCUUGAUAAGCGAGGGGUCGAAAGUUCAAAUCUUUCCAGGUCCA